Molecule: ribosomal RNA, 463 nt
Filed under: uncultured bacterium
Lineage: Bacteria
Description: partial 16S ribosomal RNA
Rfam family: Bacterial small subunit ribosomal RNA
Source: RNAcentral
CUACGGGUUGUACCAGUGGGGAAUAUUGCACAAUGGGCGCAAGCCUGAUGCAGCCAUGCCGCGUGUAUGAAGAAGGCCUUCGGGUUGUAAAGUACUUUCAGCGGGGAGGAAGGGAGUAAAGUUAAUACCUUUGCUCAUUGACGUUACCCGCAGAAGAAGCACCGGCUAAGUCGUGCCAGCAGCCGCGGUAAUACGGAGGGUGCAAGCGUUAAUCGGAAUUACUGGGCGUAAAGCGCACGCAGGCGGUUUGUUAAGUCAGAGGUGAAAUCCCCGGGCUCAACCUGGGAACUGCAUCUGAUACUGGCAAGCUUGAGUCUCGUAGAGGGGGGUAGAAUUCCAGGUGUAGCGGUGAAAUGCGUAGAGAUCUGGAGGAAUACCGGUGGCGAAGGCGGCCCCCUGGACGAAGACUGACGCUCAGGUGCGAAAGCGUGGGGAGCAAACAGGAUUAGAUACCCCCGUAGUC